ACGGAAUAGAUACCCAGGUAGUCCCAGCCGUAAACGAUGCUCGCUAGGUGUCAGGCAUGGCGCGACCGUGUCUGGUGCCGCAGGGAAGCCGUGAAGCGAGCCACCUAGGAAGUACGGCCGCAAGGCUGAAACUUAAAGGAAUUGGCGGGGGAGCACAACAACGGGUGGAGCCUGCGGUUUAAUUGGACUCAACGCCGGACAACUCACCGGGGGCGACAGCAAUAUGUAGGCCAAGCUGAAGACUUUGCCUGAAUCGCUGAGAGGAGGUGCAUGGCCGUCGCCAGUUCGUACUGUGAAGCAUCCUGUUAAGUCAGGCAACGAGCGAGACCCGUGCCCACUGUUACCAGCAUGUCCUUUGGGAUGAUGGGUACUCUGUGGGGACCGCCGGUGUCAAAUCGGAGGAAGGUGCGGGUCACGGUAGGUCAGUAUGCCCCGAAUCUCCCGGGCUACACGCGGGCUACAAUGAAUGGGACAAUGGGUCCUUCCCUG
RNAcentral lists this ribosomal RNA (489 nucleotides) under uncultured bacterium. RNAcentral describes it as "bacterial SSU rRNA". It matches the Rfam family "Archaeal small subunit ribosomal RNA", at positions 723 to 1213 of the family's 1478-position model. The record is from RNAcentral.